CCGAAUAGUUUCAAAGAAUCGAUCGUCCGCCACAAAACCGAUACCAAGCCGUAUGCUCUGUAGAUCAACGUUGGUCGUUAUUUGAUCGAUAUCGUCGCUAGAAAGUCACCACUUGUUUGUUUUCU
Bradysia coprophila is the source of this 125-nucleotide long non-coding RNA. The record is from RefSeq and is a predicted model, not a curated record. NCBI's taxonomy places the organism in Eukaryota, Metazoa, Arthropoda, Insecta, Diptera, Sciaridae.